CAAAGCAAGCAUUUCGUCUGUGGCCCUCAUUCUUGCUCAAGAUAGGAAAACACCACUGCCUGCCACUUCCUGUCCCUCAACCAGGAGAGAAGAUAGGACAGACGGACACAGGGCGUGGAGGUUCUUAUGCCAGAGCUCUUGGGAUGAUUUCAGGUAUGAAUGGCAGCUCCAAAAUGCUAGAGAUGGUCCUUUGAGGAAGCUGAGGGGACCACAAACACCCUUCAUCUUCAUUCCGUGAGUCAAUACUUCAGAAAGGGGUGCACACUGCAGUGAGGGACGGGCUUCUUUGGUGUCUGAGAAGCAGCUUGACACGUAAUCCCACACUGAACUUGGCUACCAGAGUUGUAACCAAAAUCAAAGAUGUUCCAAGGGUCAGUGACUCAGACCACCCGGUGACUUGGCUGUGGUUUCCUGUGAGUCAGGCCUGCUAGACAACCCUGGACAGAGGUGAACGGGAAACUGGGCCAGAGACAAGCUAGAGAGACCAGCGAUGGACAAUACAGACAUGCAGGCCUCCUCCGCCCCCAGCACUGGGGUCAGAAGGGCAGGCAAACUGUGAGUCCCAGACACUUGUGCCUGAGUGGUGCAGCUCUUCUGUGUCGACCUGAUGGUGGUGGGUGGAGAGGACCCGAGUGCAGCCAUGCCUUUCCCGGAGCAGAGCCGGCCCGAUAGAGGAUGCAGGCGGACGGGGAAAGCCAGCUGUUUUCUUUCAAUACCAAAGCACACGGAGGCUGCUGUGGCCUCCCUGGCUUCCUUCCCCUCUGCCUCUUGCAUUCUUCCCCCUCACUCAGCAUCUCCUGAUGCUGGUGCAUGUCUGUGAUACAGAAGGCACUUGAGCAUGUCAAGGAGCCAAGGAACAAACGCGGAAAUGUCUGCUGCAUUUCCUCGAGAGCUCAAUGACGUGAAGUGUCCCCAGGACGAAGCCGAUACCACCUUAGUCCUCCUCCCAGCCCACAGCAGCUGCCUGGUCUUGGCUCAUCUCCACCCAGGUCUCAAGAUAGUUACCGCUUAAAACGACUGGGAGCUGGUGGGCGGAGGAGUCAGGUGUUUUGCGGCACAAGUCUGAGGGCCAGGUACGUUCUCAGUGUGCACCUAAAAAGCUGUCAGCGGCAGCACGUGCCUGGAAUACCAGCAUGGACCCCAGGGACCCCGCACUGUGAUUUCCCCGCGCUGGUGCCUACUGCAAUCUGGCUAACUCUCAGAACCUAAGGAACCGGACCUUGAUACCAACGUCACGGUGGGGGGGGGGGGGCUCUAACGGGGUCACAUACGGGAACCUCACUACAGGGCAUGCGGGGCUCCUCCCUGCAACCCGUCUGGCAUCUCUAACUUCCCGUCUCACUGGAUUCUCAGGCCCGAAGAGCGGACUCUAUAAUUAGACUAUUCUCCCGUGGAGUUCCUCCCAGCCUCAUGCCUCUCUGUUUUCCUCCGAUUGUCUGCCUCUUCCUUUCCCACCCACAACGUGAGGUUGCUGUCGGGUGUGCAGGAAAUGUGUUAAAGGCACUGAUGUUUGUGUUGCUGCCCGGUCGCAGGGGCUUCGCUCCCUGGGGAAUGUCUGAAAUGUGGUCGGGCGGGCCAGCCCACAUUCCCACCAGCACUGGGCCAGAAGAUUGUCAUUAGCAGAAGGUCCUGCGAGAGCCAUGUGCCGUCUAUGGGCACCAGCUUCGGAGACUCGGGUCCAGUCUGCACCAGCACUGCCUGGGAGCCUGGCUGAGCCCUGAUUGUGUGAGUGCAGCUUCGAAUGUCAGCAUUCCCCUCCAAAAAAACUUACAGAAGUUGAAUUAAAAUAAGAGGAGAACUUUUUGAAACUUGUAGGAAACCUGGGACUUAGACUCUCCCCUUUAGACUCUCCAGCGCAGCGUGCUGCAGCUAACACGGCGGAUGAAAACUACUGCUGGCUCAGAGCCAGAUUCAGGCCACCACUUCUUUAAAUAAAGUUUUAUUGAGACACAGUCAUUGUUCACACAUAUUCUGUGGCUGCCUUCUUGCUACAGCAGGAUGGUAGCUACAACAGACCGCAUGACCCACAAGCCAAAAUGUUUCCUAUCUGGCUCUCUGUAGGUUUGUCGACCACUGAUGGGAAAUCAAGCUUCUAGACCUUCAGGCUCAUGUGAUCACAUGGCAGGUCACGAAGCUUAGCACCCAUGAAGGGCUUGACAGCACACAACAGACAAAAAUUAACUCAAAACCUAAACACACUGUGAAUCUGAGGUGUGCCUGGCAGGGCUCACAUGUGAUGCACGGAGUCAGGUCACUGCAGCCAUGAACACAUGACAUGAGAAGUCUGUGCUCUGCAUGUUACGUACCACGAAUGCGCCUGUGUCACCUCAGCUCAGAUUUGAGACUAUCGCCUGUUGCAAACUAUGGGUUUACACGUAACAUACAAAGUUUCCUACCCUUGUAGAAGCAUAACUGUUUACACAGGGAAAACAAGGCCUUCUCAUGAUUUCUAACCAUUAUUCCUGAGCAUGUACGCAUCAGUGCGUACACAUCAGGUGAGCACGUCUUUAGAUUGUAUUGUAUGAGAUGAAUAGGCCCCUCUGUCUCGUUAAUAUGCAAAUUUGCCUUCCUCACCAACAAAAGUUAUAUUAUAUGUAUGGCAACAAGUUACUUUAAAAUAAACUGCU
Molecule: long non-coding RNA, 2627 nt
Organism: Myodes glareolus (Bank vole)
Lineage: Eukaryota; Metazoa; Chordata; Mammalia; Rodentia; Cricetidae
Source: RefSeq, a predicted model, not a curated record